UAGCUAGUUGGUGAGGUAACGGCUUACCAAGGCGACGAUCUGUAGCGGGUCUGGGAGGAUUAUCCGCCACACUGGAACUGAGACACGGUCCAGACUCCUACGGGAGGCAGCAGUGGGGAAUUUUGGACAAUGGGGGCAACCCUGAUCCAGCCAUGCCGCGUGAGUGAAGAAGGCCUUCGGGUUGUAAAGCUCUUUCGGCCGGGAAGAAAUCGCAUGGGCCAAUACCCUGUGUGGAUGACGGUACCGGAAUAAGAAGCACCGGCUAACUACGUGCCAGCAGCCGCGGUAAUACGUAGGGUGCGAGCGUUAAUCGGAAUUACUGGGCGUAAAGCGUGCGCAGGCGGUUUUGUAAGACAGGCGUGAAAUCCCCGGGCUCAACCUGGGAACUGCGUUUGUGACUGCAAGGCUAGAGUACGGCAGAGGGGGGUGGAAUUCCACGUGUAGCAGUGAAAUGCGUAGAGAUGUGGAGGAACACCAAUGGCGAAGGCAGCCCCCUGGGUCGAUACUGACGCUCAUGCACGAAAGCGUGGGUAGCAAACAGGAUUAGAUACCCUGGUAGUCCACGCCCUAAACUAUGUCAACUAGGUGUUGGGUGGGUAAAACCAUUUAGUACCGUAGCUAACGCGUGAAGCUGACCGCCUGGGGAGUACGGCCGCAAGGUUAAAACUCAGAGGAAUUGACGGGGACCCGCACAAGCGGUGGAUGAUGUGGAUUAAUUCGAUGCAACGCGAAAAACCUUACCUACCCUUGACAUGCCAGGAACUUGCCAGAGAUGGCUUGGUGCCCGAAAGGGAGCCUGGACACAGGUGCUGCAUGGCUGUCGUCAGCUCGUGUCGUGAGAUGUUGGGUUAAGUCCCGCAACGAGCGCAACCCUUGUCGUUAAUUGCCAUCAUUUAGUUGGGCACUUUAGCGAGACUGCCGGUGACAAACCGGAGGAAGGUGGGGAUGACGUCGAGUCCUCAUGGCCCUUAUGGGUAGGGCUUCACACGUCAUACAAUGGUCGGUACAAAGGGUCGCCAAGCCGCGAGGUGGAGCCAAUCCCAGAAAGCCGAUCGUAGUCCGGAUUGCAGGCUGCAACUCGCCUGCAUGAAGUCGGAAUCGCUAGUAAUCGUGGAUCAGCAUGUCACGGUGAAUACGUUCCCGGGUCUUGUACACACCGCCCGUCACACCAUGGGAGCGGGUUCCGCCAGAAGUAGGCAGCCUAACCGCAAGGAGGGCGCUUACCACGGCGGGGUUCGUGACUGGGGUGACGUCGUAACAAGGUAGCCGUAGGGAACCUGCGGCUG
Molecule: ribosomal RNA, 1286 nt
Filed under: metagenome
Description: bacterial SSU rRNA
Rfam family: Bacterial small subunit ribosomal RNA
Source: RNAcentral